RNAcentral lists this long non-coding RNA (1035 nucleotides) under Trifolium pratense (red clover). RNAcentral describes it as "long non-coding RNA (TPRA_LNC008784)". Lineage: Eukaryota; Viridiplantae; Streptophyta; Magnoliopsida; Fabales; Fabaceae. The record is from RNAcentral.
AGAGCCGCAACCCUCUCACAAACCUUCUCUUUCCCAAAGUUGUUGUUUUCUACCAUACCUCACCAAAUUAAAAUCUCUCAUAAACAAAAAUCAGCAUAUCACCGAACAUAGCUUUUUCAUUCCAAUCAUAUUUAACAUCCCUCUCUGCCAACAAAUUUUCACAUACCUCACAUCAUCACCGAACACCAGUUUAUUUAUUAUUAGUUUUUUUUUUUUAACUCGUGAUCAUCCUUCAAUUCUUAUUAUGGCCACCGAUCCAAACAAUUCCUCCUCCAUCAUUGGAACCACCCCUCCUCCUCCAACACCCACUUCUACACAGACUCAUCCUGCCCUCACUAUACCAAAUAUCACUAAUUUCAUUAAGAUCACAUUGAGCAUGGAAAAGGGGACGUAUAACACUUAGUCUUAAUUAUUUAAACCAGUGUCAAAGGCUAUUCUCAUGCACUUCUAGGCCAAACUCUGCCUUCAACUUCAGCCUCGUUCGAGGGAGGGUAUUAGCAAUACACAACUGUCAUUGAAUAAAAAUUAUAUUAAGUGUGGGACACAAACAACACUUAAAGAGAAUCCCUAUAAUUGUGACACAAUUAAUGGAAAGUUGGUUGAAGAUUGAAAGCUGUGUAGCCGUAACAAAUAAGCCAACAAAUCAACCAUAUUUUAUCAAGAAAUUUGUCUAUGUUUGAGGGAUUUGUUAUUCAGUAUUUAUACAUGACCGUUGUACACACUAAUAUAUAUUUCCUCUACGUCUCUUGUAUCAAUCAGUGUUCACGUUUACAAUAUUUCUAAUAAAGUGAAAUAUUUCAUCUCGAUCCUUAUUUUCUUCUCUUCUUCUGGGUCAAGAUGAUGAUAGUUUGGGUCAACAACCAUUUACUGGCCUUGGUGCGAUGCCCAAAGGACAUAAUGUUGACUUUGAUUUUUUUUUUCCUACUGUGUUAAUCUAGAGGAUUAUCCUAAAUCUUAAUAAUGUGUAGAGGAUCAUAAGAAUGUGUUUGAUAAUAUUUUUGAGGUUGUUUCUUAUUCCAACACACUUGAACAUGC